RNAcentral lists this ribosomal RNA (535 nucleotides) under uncultured Acidobacteriota bacterium. RNAcentral's name for it is "bacterial SSU rRNA". It matches the Rfam family "Bacterial small subunit ribosomal RNA", at positions 13 to 529 of the family's 1533-position model. Lineage: Bacteria; Pseudomonadati; Acidobacteriota. The record is from RNAcentral.
UUGAUCCUGGCUCAGAAUCAACGCUGGCGGCGUGCCUAACACAUGCAAGUCGAACGCGAAAAGGGCUUCGGCUCUUAGUAGAGUGGCGAACGGGUGAGUUACACGUGGGUGACCUACCUUCGAAUGGGGGAUAACGUCCCGAAAGGGACUCUAAUACCGCAUAACAUCCUGCUUUUGAACAGGUGGAGAUCAAAGCCGGUGAUCGCAAGACCUGGCGUUUGAAGAGGGGCCCGCGUCUGAUUAGCUAGUUGGUGAGGUAACGGCCCACCAAGGCGACGAUCAGUAUCCGGCCUGAGAGGUCGGACGGACACACUGGGACUGAGACACGGCCCAGACUCCUACGGGAGGCUGCAGUGGGGAAUUGUUCGCAAUGGGCGCAAGCCUGACGACGCAACGCCGUGUGGAGGAUGAAGGUCUUCGGAUUGUAAACUCCUGUUGCUCGGGACGAAUAGCUUCGACCUAACACGUCGAAGUCUGACGGUACCGGGUGAGGAAGCCCUGGCUAACUCUGUGCCAGCAGCCGCGGUAAUAAGGU